UCUAUUUUGUGAAUUUUUAAUCUAUUACUUAGCGAUCUUUCAGUGUAAUUGGCCUGAAGUGAAAACCACAGCCUCUGAUGGUGAACAGGCCACACGUGAGCCUGUGCUCAAAGCCAUGUUUUUGGCUGACACCCAUUUGCUUGGGGAAUUCCUAGGCCACUGGCUGGACAAAUUACGAAGGGAAUGGCAGAUGGAGAGAGCCUUCCAGACAGCUCUGUGGUUGCUGCAGCCGGAAGUCGUCUUCAUCCUGGGGGAUAUCUUUGAUGAAGGGAAGUGGAGCACCCCUGAGGCCUGGGCGGAUGAUGUGGAGCGGUUUCAGAAAAUGUUCAGACACCCAAGUCAUGUACAGCUGAAGGUAGUUGCUGGAAACCAUGACAUUGGCUUCCAUUAUGAGAUGAACACAUACAAAGUAGAACGCUUUGAGAAAGUGUUCAGCUCUGAAAGACUGUUUUCUUGGAAAGGCAUUAACUUUGUGAUGGUCAACAGCGUGGCGCUGAACGGGGAUGGCUGUGGCAUCUGCUCUGAAACAGAAGCAGAGCUCAUUGAAGUUUCUCACAGACUGAACUGCUCCCGAGAGGCACGUGGCUCCAGCCGGUGUGGACCUGGGCCUCUGCUGCCCACGUCUGCCCCUGUCCUCCUGCAGGUGAGCUGGGGGAGGAAAGGGCUCAUGGCAGACAGCAGGCAGCCUGUGGUUUCACGAUAGCCGCCUGAACUCCUCUCUCCACCCCGGACAGCAUUAUCCUCUGUAUCGGAGAAGUGAUGCUAACUGUUCUGGGGAAGACGCUGCUCCUCCAGAGGAAAGGGACAUCCCAUUUAAGGAGAACUAUGACGUGCUUUCACGGGAGGCAUCACAAAAGCUGCUGUGGUGGCUCCAGCCGCGCCUGGUUCUCAGUGGCCACACGCACAGCGCCUGCGAGGUGCACCACGGGGGCCGAGUCCCCGAGCUCAGCGUCCCAUCUUUCAGUUGGAGGAACAGAAACAACCCCAGUUUCAUCAUGGGAACAGAUGCUUAGUUGAGCAUCAAGGGGCGGGAAGACACCUUUCCCUCCUUGUUCCUCGCUGACCGAUGACCCUGGAACUCCACGGUGCCUCUCUGAAUCUCUGUUAUGGAUCCCCCACUAUAUUUGAUGGGAACCCAGUGAGCCAGGGGCCAGUUUUGACAGGU
RNAcentral lists this small RNA (1165 nucleotides) under Pan troglodytes (chimpanzee). RNAcentral's name for it is "retained intron". The record is from RNAcentral. Lineage: Eukaryota; Metazoa; Chordata; Mammalia; Primates; Hominidae.